GGGCUCGUCACAUGCCCCAAGGUUGCAGGGCGGAGCGCCGGCGCCUGGAAGGCUGGGGAGCCCCUGGUGCGCACCUGAGCGGGGAGCGGGGUGCAGCGCCCCCUCCUGGUCGGUGAGCGCCGGGCCGGGCACCUCCCGCGCGCCUGGCCAGGUGGCUUCGGAGCGCGGGGCUGGGCGCGCUCUCUCGACUCCCGGCCCCCGCGACCGCUCUGGGCAAGGGCGGCGGCGGCGACAGGCUCCGGGCGCGACGCUGCUCCGUGGUCAGGUCCGGUUGUGGGUGCCGACGGCCGGCCUGGGGUCACCGGACUAGGCUGCACUCGCCACGCGUAGGCGCUGGGGACCCGCUGGGGACUCGCCGAGGUGCGCUCGGGCGGACUCUGGGAGAGCAGCGCCCCCUCGCCCGGGCCGGCGGCCGCGGGGAGCUCGGGCCCGCCGCCCCUCCGCCUCAAGUCUGGGCGCUCCCAGCCCCAUUCAGCCGCUGCCUAUGGGGAUCCGAGAGUUUCCCGGCGGCGCGCCCAGGGGCAAGAGCAUCGCCAUUGGCAUGAGGAGGUCACCGGACGUCAGCCCCCGGAGACUGUCAGACAUCAGCCCCCAGCUCAGGCAGCUGAAGUACUUGGUGGUGGACGAGGCCAUCAAGGAGGACCUGAAAUGGUCGCGCUCGGUGGAAGACCUCACCAGCGGGCCCGUGGGGCUCACGUCCAUCGAAGAGCGGAUUCUGCGCAUCACUGGCUAUUAUGGCUACCAGCCCUGGGCAGCGAGCUACAAAAGUAAGCCCCCCUGCUCCACCGACGUCAUUUCCCUGCCCUCUGGUCCUGUCCCUGCCCCAGUCACAGUAGCUAGGUUAAGAAGCUCAAGCAGCGAGGUCCAGCACCCACUUGCGCCCUGCCGGCAGAUUGGCAACUUUGAACAAGAGGUCCAGAGAUAGUUCUCCCAGACCAUGCGGCCCCCAUCCCCGUUCUCUUAUGACCCUCCCACGCCCACGCAGUCCUCUGUGUCCUCAUCCCCUGCCUCUGGAGGUGUUGCAAUAUGGAGGGCACCCCUGGUGUGACUAACCUCGAGAACCAAACCGAUGCAGGGAAUCAAAGUGCCCCGGGCUGCUCAGCCUUUUUAGGGAUCUGGGAGUGUACUGGGCUCUGGGUCAGCUCAGCUGGCUAUUUGGAGGAUGCAAACUUGGACAGAUUUUAACUCUUCCGGAUGUCUCCUGAGCCGUGGUAACUUCACUUUGCAUCGGUGAGGAGGUUCUAUGUGGAUCUUUCUAGAUACUGGCACUGGUGGUGGCAAGGUGAGCGCUUGGAGUUACCAGACUUUCCUCUGGCAGUGGGGUUCAGCUGUUGGCUUGGUACUGCUGUGAUCAGUUAAUAGAUAUUACCUGUGCGGCCACUUUGGUGGUCGUUUGAUUAGGUUGGAAGAGAGAGGCGGGCUACAAGAAACUGUAUAUAACUAUAGUUAGGUGAUCCCAUUCCUAUAGUUGGACAGAGCCCAAGAGAUUGCUUUUCAGCCUUCAAGUAGUAUAAGCAAUGAACAUGACUCAUUUAUUUGUGAAUAAAAG
RNAcentral lists this long non-coding RNA (1549 nucleotides) under Chinchilla lanigera (long-tailed chinchilla). RNAcentral describes it as "lncRNA (ENSCLAG00000027938.1)". The record is from RNAcentral. Lineage: Eukaryota; Metazoa; Chordata; Mammalia; Rodentia; Chinchillidae.